RNAcentral lists this ribosomal RNA (159 nucleotides) under Triticum aestivum (bread wheat). RNAcentral describes it as "partial small subunit ribosomal RNA". The record is from RNAcentral. Lineage: Eukaryota; Viridiplantae; Streptophyta; Magnoliopsida; Poales; Poaceae.
AUGCUUCGGAUUAGAGCAAAUGACUCUAAUUCGUCCACGCCUACGAAUCAGUCAACAUUUUGUACAAAUUUUAUGAACGGAAGCUCUUAUUUUCAUAUCUACGUAUCCUUUUUAAACUAUGAAUCUAAUCUUUUGGAAAAAAUAAGUCUCUUCGCUUGA